This 183-nucleotide small nucleolar RNA is filed under the name Apteryx rowi (Okarito brown kiwi). RNAcentral's name for it is "Small Cajal body specific RNA 16 (ENSARWG00000002557.1)". It matches the Rfam family "Small Cajal body specific RNA 16". From Rfam's summary of the family: scaRNAs are a specific class of small nuclear RNAs which localise to the Cajal bodies and guide the modification of RNA polymerase II transcribed spliceosomal RNAs U1, U2, U4, U5 and U12. The record is from RNAcentral. Lineage: Eukaryota; Metazoa; Chordata; Aves; Apterygiformes; Apterygidae.
CAGGGCUUGGGAAAUGGCUGCUGUGUGGUCGGAGCCAGGUGUUUCCAGCCUUGUACCAGCCGGCCUCACCCGUGCCCGAGAUUAAUUCCCACGCAGACUCCAGGCCGGAGUUUGUCCUAUGCAGUAACAGGUGUGAGCAUUCAUGGAGUGUUUUGAUGGUCAUGUAUGAUACUGCAUACAACA